RNAcentral lists this non-coding RNA (27 nucleotides) under Bombyx mori (domestic silkworm). The record is from RNAcentral. Lineage: Eukaryota; Metazoa; Arthropoda; Insecta; Lepidoptera; Bombycidae.
UAGGUUUACAUUCAAAACUCUGAGGCA